UUAGGGAGCUACCAUUUGAUUUUUAUGGGGGGGGCUAGGAUGAAAUUUGAAAAAAAUAGGCAGGACAGGAGUUUGAGUAAAAAAAAAGCAGGAUGAGACACUUGCAAAAAAAAAGUCAGGACGACAAUUUAGGUAAAAAAAAGUCAGGAUAAACUAAAAAAAAAAGGCAGGACCGAACAGAGUGAAAAAGGCAGGACAGAGAUUACAGCUAAAAAAAAUGCAGGACAUAAUUUUUCAUCCUAGCCCCCCCCCC
This 253-nucleotide long non-coding RNA is filed under the name Mytilus galloprovincialis (Mediterranean mussel). The record is from RNAcentral. Lineage: Eukaryota; Metazoa; Mollusca; Bivalvia; Mytilida; Mytilidae.